AAAUGUAACAAGGUCUCCGUUGGUGAACCAGCGGA
Molecule: ribosomal RNA, 35 nt
Filed under: Fusarium oxysporum
Lineage: Eukaryota; Fungi; Ascomycota; Sordariomycetes; Hypocreales; Nectriaceae
Description: partial 18S ribosomal RNA
Source: RNAcentral